Electrophorus electricus (electric eel) is the source of this 840-nucleotide long non-coding RNA. The record is from Ensembl. Lineage: Eukaryota; Metazoa; Chordata; Actinopteri; Gymnotiformes; Gymnotidae.
CUCAUCUCCGUCAACAGCAGCUACAUUUAAGCUAACAGUUAAGGUGUGAGUUGCAAGAGUUCAGACCACUCGGUGGGCGCUUAAAUACAACGGGUUAAUAAGGACUUAAAUCCGGCGUACACCACGCCAUUUUUAGCCCAGUUUUAACCCUAAUUUUACCCUUCAGACCAAUGGCCAAGAGAGCAAACGGACCCCUUCUCGCAUAGCACGUACUACAGCGACUGAAGAAAGACUCGCUGCAGUGUGUCACUCUGAUUCACGCGAGGUGUUGGGGUGUGGGAGAUUUUUCAUGCGUCCCUCAGAAGGGUGAUAUUUUUCUAUCCGUUACGAUUGUCAAAAUCCUGUAGCGUUACAGGUCUUAGUCAAACGAAACUUCUCGCGAAGCGAAAAUCGAAAGAAGACGGCGUCGUUUACGUCUAUAUGACGUAUAACCUUGGCGCGAGCAUGCUUUGUGAUAAACGGAGAAGAGAAUACAUGAUCGGUCCUUUCUAUACCUACAGACUUGUCUGAUGAAGAAACGAGUUGAUCGAGCGCGGAUCAGCUUGCAGUCUGCUGGAGCAAGCAUCUUCCUGUUGCCUGCAAGCCGCUCUCGCCAGGCAUGCGGGUCUGGUAGUACAAUAUGCGCUGCCGGAAGGAACCGUGACCAAGUACCAGUCGCCAUGGGAGUGCUCCCAUGUGGUGAAGGAGUGCCUGGUGAGCUCUGCUCAAUGGAGGUGCGCUAUUGUGCCCUAAUGAAGGUGUAUGGAGACACAGUAAGAGACCUGCAACAAGUCAAAACACUUCAUCCAAGCACCCCUGCAACCGAGAAUAAUUCUCAAUAGAUUAUUAAAAAUAAAUAAA